This 925-nucleotide ribosomal RNA is filed under the name uncultured bacterium. RNAcentral's name for it is "bacterial SSU rRNA". It matches the Rfam family "Bacterial small subunit ribosomal RNA", at positions 33 to 949 of the family's 1533-position model. The record is from RNAcentral.
ACGCUAGCUACAGGCUUAACACAUGCAAGUCGAGGGGAAACGGCAUUGAGUGCUUGCACUCUUUGGACGUCGACCGGCGCACGGGUGAGUAACGCGUAUCCAACCUUCCCAUUACUGUGGGAUAACCUGCCGAAAGGCAGACUAAUACCGCAUAGUCUUCGAUGACGGCAUCAGAUUUGAAGUAAAGAUUUAUCGGUAAUGGAUGGGGAUGCGUCUGAUUAGCUUGUUGGCGGGGUAACGGCCCACCAAGGCAACGAUCAGUAGGGGUUCUGAGAGGAAGGUCCCCCACAUUGGAACUGAGACACGGUCCAAACUCCUACGGGAGGCAGCAGUGAGGAAUAUUGGUCAAUGGACGGAAGUCUGAACCAGCCAAGUAGCGUGCAGGAUGACGGCCCUAUGGGUUGUAAACUGCUUUUGUAUGGGGAUAAAGUUAGGGACGUGUCCCUAUUUGCAGGUACCAUACGAAUAAGGACCGGCUAAUUCCGUGCCAGCAGCCGCGGUAAUACGGAAGGUCCAGGCGUUAUCCGGAUUUAUUGGGUUUAAAGGGAGCGUAGGCUGGAGAUUAAGUGUGUUGUGAAAUGUAGACGCUCAACGUCUGAAUUGCAGCGCAUACUGGUUUCCUUGAGUACGCACAACGUUGGCGGAAUUCGUCGUGUAGCGGUGAAAUGCUUAGAUAUGACGAAGAACUCCGAUUGCGAAGGCAGCUGACGGGAGCGCAACUGACGCUUAAGCUCGAAGGUGCGGGUAUCAAACAGGAUUAGAUACCCUGGUAGUCCGCACAGUAAACGAUGGAUGCCCGCUGUUGGUACCUGGUAUCAGCGGCUAAGCGAAAGCAUUAAGCAUCCCACCUGGGGAGUACGCCGGCAACGGUGAAACUCAAAGGAAUUGACGGGGGCCCGCACAAGCGGAGGAACAUGUGGUUUAA